This 248-nucleotide ribosomal RNA is filed under the name uncultured bacterium. Its description in RNAcentral is "partial 16S ribosomal RNA". It matches the Rfam family "Bacterial small subunit ribosomal RNA", at positions 86 to 334 of the family's 1533-position model. The record is from RNAcentral.
UUUUACCGAGUGGCGGACGGGUGAGUAACGCGUGGGUAACCUGCCUCAUACAGGGGGAUAACGGUUAGAAAUGACUGCUAAUACCGCAUAAGACCACAGCACCGCAUGGUGCGGGGGUAAAAACUCCGGUGGUAUGAGAUGGACCCGCGUCUGAUUAGCUGGUUGGUAAGGUAACGGCUUACCAAGGCGACGAUCAGUAGCCGACCUGAGAGGGUGACCGGCCACAUUGGGACUGAGACACGGCCCAA